UACAUAUCAUAUAGAGCAGCCGGCCAAAGAGACUUGAAACUUUCCGUUGCCUAAGAAGCCUCUGAUGCGACAUGUAUUUAUUGUUUCUCUCAAGUCGAUCUCAACCCAUCAUCCACUUCACAAUUUCUAGCUCUACUUCUCCUACUUAGUUUAGUUUCUACAAAAAUACCAAACUAGUCUAUGUUCUAACUUAACUCCUUACCUUCUUCUAAUCUUCUCUAACUCAGACUAAAUUUAUGGAGUCCAAAUAUCAUCAAGAGGAUUCAACAAACUCAUCAUCCGGCGAAGAAUCUGAUCAAGUGGAGCUGCACAACAGUGGCUUAUCAAGAUCUUACGAGUGUGUCUUCUGUAAAAGAGGCUUCACCACAGCACAGGCCUUGGGAGGACACAUGAAUAUCCACAGAAAAGAUAAGGCCAAGACAAGGCCUUGUAAAGAUAAUAAGCAGCAGCAGGAUAGCUACAAUGGCAAGGUUCCAGCCAUUUUUCCAGUGUCAACAAGCUUGUGCAGUCAUGAUCAGAAUCCGCUGCCAGGGAUCGAGGAUUAUCAGCUGGGGCUCGGCUUGAGCUUGCAGUUUAGGACAUCGAAAUUCAGGCAAGAGGUCCUGGAGGAUAAGAGAAGAGGUGGCUUGGUUGAAGACGAUGAUUUGGAUUUGGAGCUCAGGCUUGGUCAUAAUCCUUAAUUUUGAAUCAUUUUCAGCCGUUUCAUGGUAGCUAGCGGGGGAAGAAGAAGAUCUAAUAUAUGUGUGUGAGCUUUAUGCUGGGUAAACUGAAAGUCUCAUUCAUCAACUUGAAGAUGGAAGCAAAGCAGAUCCUGUUAAAACGGAUCAUGAUUUUGGUUUAUCCUACUCCAGGAAUGCAGGUAACAUCCACUGUGGCCUGUGGGAUACAUACUUCAUAUGUGCAUGAAAACGCGCGCCUUCUCGUCAUCUUAAAUUCGUUGGGCCUGUUUGGUUUGCAGAAGUAGAAGCUGCUUCUGGCUUUGCUUUUCUUGACCCGUUUGUGCAUAUAAGUAAGAGCAAUUUUAAGAAGAUGAGAAUACUAUGAACUUCUGUUUUUUUUUCCAAACACUUUAUUAACUUA
Daucus carota subsp. sativus is the source of this 1080-nucleotide RNA transcript. RefSeq lists it as uncharacterized. NCBI's taxonomy places the organism in Eukaryota, Viridiplantae, Streptophyta, Magnoliopsida, Apiales, Apiaceae. The transcript has 2 exons. The record is from RefSeq and is a predicted model, not a curated record.